GAUGAACGCUGGCGGUGUGCCUAAUACAUGCAAGUCGAGCGAACAGACGAGGAGCUUGCUCCUCUGACGUUAGCGGCGGACGGGUGAGUAACACGUGGAUAACCUACCUAUAAGACUGGGAUAACUUCGGGAAACCGGAGCUAAUACCGGAUAAUAUAUUGAACCGCAUGGUUCAAUAGUGAAAGCCGGUUUUGCUGUCACUUAUAGAUGGAUCCGCGCCGCAUUAGCUAGUUGGUAAGGUAACGGCUUACCAAGGCAACGAUGCGUAGCCGACCUGAGAGGGUGAUCGGCCACACUGGAACUGAGACACGGUCCAGACUCCUACGGGAGGCAGCAGUAGGGAAUCUUCCGCAAUGGGCGAAAGCCUGACGGAGCAACGCCGCGUGAGUGAUGAAGGUCUUCGGAUCGUAAAACUCUGUUAUUAGGGAAGAACAAAUGUGUAAGUAACUAUGCACGUCUUGACGGUACCGAAUCAGAAAGCCACGGCUAACUACGUG
This 497-nucleotide ribosomal RNA is filed under the name uncultured bacterium. Its description in RNAcentral is "partial 16S ribosomal RNA". It matches the Rfam family "Bacterial small subunit ribosomal RNA", at positions 28 to 507 of the family's 1533-position model. The record is from RNAcentral.